This 497-nucleotide ribosomal RNA is filed under the name uncultured bacterium. RNAcentral's name for it is "partial 16S ribosomal RNA". It matches the Rfam family "Bacterial small subunit ribosomal RNA", at positions 28 to 507 of the family's 1533-position model. The record is from RNAcentral.
GAUGAACGCUGGCGGCGUGCCUAAUACAUGCAAGUCGAGCGAACGGACGAGAAGCUUGCUUCUCUGAUGUUAGCGGCGGACGGGUGAGUAACACGUGGAUAACCUACCUAUAAGACUUGGAUAACUUCGUGAAACCGGAGCUAAUACCGGAUAAUAUUUUGAACCGCAUGGUUCAAAAGUGAAAGACGGUCUUGCUGUCACUUAUAGAUGGAUCCGCGCUGCAUUAGCUAGUUGGUAAGGUAACGGCUUACCAAGGCAACGAUGCAUAUCCGACCUGAGAGGGUGAUCGGCCACAAUGGAACUGAGACAAGGUCCAGAAUACUAAGGGAGGCAGCAGUAGGGAAUCUUUCGAAAUGGGCGAAAGCCUGAAGGAGCAAAGACGCGUGAGUGAUGAAGGUCUUCGGAUCGUAAAACUCUGUUAUUAGGGAAGAACAUAUGUGUAAGUAACUGUGCACAGCUUGAAGGUACCUAAUAAGAAAGCCACGGCUAACUACGUG